GUGGGGAAUAUUGGACAAUGGGCGCAAGCCUGAUCCAGCCAUGCCGCGUGAGUGAUGAAGGCCUUAGGGUUGUAAAGCUCUUUCAGUAGGGAAGAUAAUGACGGUACCUACAGAAGAAGCCCCGGCUAACUUCGUGCCAGCAGCCGCGGUAAUACGAAGGGGGCUAGCGUUGUUCGGAUUUACUGGGCGUAAAGCGCACGUAGGCGGAUUGGUCAGUUAGAGGUGAAAUCCCGAAGCUCAACUUCGGAACUGCCUUUAAUACUGCCAGUCUUGAGUCCGGAAGAGGUGAGUGGAACUCCUAGUGUAGAGGUGGAAUUCGUAGAUAUUAGGAAGAACACCAGUGGCGAAGGCGGCUCACUGGUCCGGUACUGACGCUGAGGUGCGAAAGCGUGGGGAGCAAACAGGAUUAGAUACCCGGGUAGUCC
Molecule: ribosomal RNA, 425 nt
Filed under: uncultured bacterium
Lineage: Bacteria
Description: partial 16S ribosomal RNA
Rfam family: Bacterial small subunit ribosomal RNA
Source: RNAcentral